AUGGCCUCUGUUAUCUCCACAAAGACCUUUGUCCAACCAAGGCUGGCCAUAGAGAAGAGUGAGAGGACAUCCAUGGAGGGCCCAAGAAGAACCUGCAAGUUCCCUCUGCUGGGCCAGACAAAUAGACCCUCUCUCAGCCUUUUAGACCAGAAGGGACCUCCAUUCCAGCCAGAGAUCACAGACAACAGGUAUCCUUCUUGACCCACUGCCAUCCAUUAUCCUGUUGCUUAAAAUCCUUCUGUGGCCUCCUAUUACCUAGAACAAGGUUAGCAAAUUACAGCCCAGGGGUUAAUCUGGCCUGCUUCCUUGUCUCAUAAAUAAAGUUUGAUUGGAACACAGCCUCACUCAUUUGUUUGCACACUGUCCAUGGCUACUUUUGCACUAAACAACAUAGCUGAGUAGCAGAGUCCUUGCAACAAAGACCUUAUGGCCUGGAACAUUUAAAAACAGUGACUAUGUAGCCGUUUAUAGAAAAAGACUGCUGGUCGUUGAACUAGAGAAGAAAGUUUAAAAGUUUUCCCUACGCCCACCAGGUCUUCUGUGUUCCGGCCCCAGCUAUUCCUGGGUCCUUCCUUUUGCACUACUCUCUCCUCUACUCAGUUUGCUUCUCCACAAGCAAUAGUGACUGCCGUAGGCCACAAAUAAAUUGAUGGGAAAGCUAUAGCGAAAUACUCACCGGACUGAUAGGAAGGCUGGGGAAAUGACUUAAAAAAUGGGGUCCAG
This 723-nucleotide long non-coding RNA is filed under the name Callithrix jacchus (white-tufted-ear marmoset). RNAcentral's name for it is "lncRNA (ENSCJAG00000065115.2)". The record is from RNAcentral. Lineage: Eukaryota; Metazoa; Chordata; Mammalia; Primates; Cebidae.